Long non-coding RNA from Chenopodium quinoa (quinoa), 1769 nucleotides. RefSeq lists it as uncharacterized. Lineage: Eukaryota; Viridiplantae; Streptophyta; Magnoliopsida; Caryophyllales; Amaranthaceae. The record is from RefSeq and is a predicted model, not a curated record. The transcript is spliced from 2 exons.
CAAGCAUUUCGAAAAUCAAGUGUCCAUCGGAAUAUCAUUAGCGGCUUUAUUAUGUCAUUUUACGAAGAAACGAGACUGCAAGAGGUAAAAAGAUUAAAGUUGUUCCAAGCGUGAUAUGGCAUCCAUUUAAAAUAGAACAAGGCCAAAUGUCCUUCCUCUCAGAAAGGGUGGUGGUACCAGCACCGGCUCCAAAAGGCCCAGUGGUGGAGCCAGCUUGGAUCAGUCUAAAAAAUAAAAACCAUCCCGGCUCAAGACCAACAAGCCGGCAGCCGAAAGACGUCCCAACUGACAUGAAGGACAACGUGGAUUUGGAGGAUGAUAACGGCAACAGACCAAAGAAAACGGUGGGCAUCACUGCCCCAAGGCAACCAGUCGACGGCUUCGAUAAGGCCACAUCACAGAAUAAGGAUGCAACCUUUCUCUACAGUUUGCUCUGGUUCUAGCAGCCUCAAUGCCCUUAUACCUGUGUUGACGGAUGAUUUUAUUGAGAUUCCCCAUGUCAAAAUUCUCAAGGAGGUGAUGGAGGAAUUUCUUGUUCCUGUCGGUACUGUUGGUGAACCACGGCAUCCUCGAAUUAAUGUGAAUAGGGGGAAUUUGUCAUUACGGAUGACCUAUCCACUAGAGGUAGCAUGGGAUGGAGGGUGCUAAAAGAUUUGGCCACUCUUGCCGAUAGGCCUGUCAGCCGGCUCGCUGCUCCUUAUGGUCAAAUGAUGAAUAACCUACUUAGGGUAAGUUAUCCUCCUUAAUGCUUCAUGUAUUGUGAUUUGUAUCUGAUAAUCAAAUAUUAUAUUUAUGUCUUGUUUUAUCUCUUGCAAUUUUGUGUCAAUGCACAAAUUGUCAACUCGGCUGUAGAGGUUGUCCACAUGUACAAAUAUUAUCAGAGGUAUGCGGACAAAGCCGAGAGUAUUGUGAAGAAGGCUAAAGACGAGUGCAAAGCGGCCGCCCUUGAGGUUUCGAACUGUAAAGUCAAGAUAAGGUUUCUUGAGAACCAGCUGACUAGCCUAGAGGAGUCAAAAAAGAAGUUGGAAAAUCAAGACAAGCUGAAAGCCCAAAUAGCUGAUUUGGAGAAAAGCUUGAAAAUCGAGAGGGCAAAGAAAGAGGAAGCGAAGAAAAAGUUUGAGUAAGCUCGUCUUGAGAAGCCUUCUAUCAGGCGUCAAGCUGUCAACCGGUUCUUGAGGUCUGAUUUAUACUGGGACAAGCUGGUUAACCGUUAUACCGGUGGGUGGGUAGCAGCACAUCGUUGCGUGUGUAUAACCGAGGGUUGGGAGGAGACGAGAUGUCAGUCAAUCGAGGAUGCUUACGGUAAUGACAAACAUCACUCUCCCACCAGCUAUGAAGAAGGAUAUUUUGCCGAUCCCCCCAGCAUUGAAACAAUGACAAAUGUUGAUCCACGUGAUAUGCCGGAUGAAAAGUUUGAUGACGCCAUUCUUGCCAGCCUUGUAGGUGAGAAAGGGCCAGAGAAAGAGUCCAAGAAGAAAAAAGGUUUAAGGGUUAGGCAGUCAUCACCAAGCUCAUCAUAUGGAUCCUCAUUUUCUUGCAACCAUUGUUAAGCUGAAUGAAUUUUAUUUGUGUUUUUGUCAGUUCUAAAACUCUCAAUUGUUAUGAACAAACUAAUCGUCUGUUUGUCUAUUUUAGCCGGUCUGAUCCUUGUACUUUUUUGGGUGAUGGCUGUUGGUUUUCUUUGUUUUAAAGUAUGUUUGAAUACUCUUUAAGUUUUAACUCUUGCUAUGUAUACAUGAUGCUUUCAGAUCAAUGAUUUAUCCCUUUUA